GGAGUUAGCCGGUGCUUCUUCUGUGAGUGAUGUCCUUCCUGCCGGCUAUUAACCCGCAGGCCUUCUUCCUCACUGAAAGUGAUUUACAACCCGAAGGCCUUCUUCACACACGCGGCAUGGCUGGAUCAGGGUUGCCCCCAUUGUCCAAUAUUCCCCACUGCUGCCUCCCGUAGGAGUCUGGGCCGUGUCUCAGUCCCAGUGUGGCUGAUCAUCCUCUCAGACCAGCUACGGAUCGUCGCCUUGGUGAGCCGUUACCUCACCAACCAGCUAAUCCGACAUAGGCUCAUCCGAUAGCGCGAGGCCCGAAGGUCCCCCGCUUUCCCCCGUAGGGCGUAUGCGGUAUUAGCCUGGGUUUCCCCAGGUUAUCCCCCACUACCGGGCAGAUUCCUAUGCAUUACUCACCCGUCCGCCGCUCGCCACCAGGGAGCAAGCUCCCCGUGCUGCCGCUCGACUUGCAUGUGUUAGGCCUGCCGCCAGCGUUCAAUCUGAGCCAGGAUCAAACUCUGA
Molecule: ribosomal RNA, 507 nt
Filed under: uncultured bacterium
Lineage: Bacteria
Description: partial 16S ribosomal RNA
Source: RNAcentral